GGGGGUUUCCCUUAGUACGGCGAGUGAGCGGCAAAGCUCACAUUUGAAAUCUGGUACCUUCGGUGCAGAGAGGUGAUUUGUAGAAGGUAACUUUGGGGCUGGUCUUUGAAAAUGUUCCUUGGAACAGGACGUCAUAGAGGGUGAGAAUCCCGUGUGGCGAGGAUCCCAGUUCUUUGUAAAGUGCUUUCGAAGAGUCGAGUUGUUUGGGAAUGCAGCUCUAAGUGGGUGGUAAAUUCCAUCUAAAGCUAAAUAUUGGCGAGAGACCGAUAGCGAACAAGUACAGUGAUGGAAAGAUGAAAAGAACUUUGAAAAGAGAGUGAAAAAGUACGUGAAAUUGUUGAAAGGGAAGGGCAUUUGAUCAGACAUGGUGUUUUGCGCCCUCUGCUCCUUGUGGGUGGGGGAAUCUCGCAGCUCACUGGGCCAGCAUCAGUUUUGGCGGCAGGAUAAAUCUGCAGGAAUGUAGCUUGCCUCGGUAAGUGUUAUAUCCUGUAGAAAUACUGCCAGCUGGGACUGAGGACUGCGACUUUACGUCAAGGAUGCUGGCAUAAUGGUUAUAUGCCGCCCGUCUUGAAAACACGGACCA
This 583-nucleotide ribosomal RNA is filed under the name Torulaspora delbrueckii. RNAcentral's name for it is "eukaryotic LSU rRNA". It matches the Rfam family "Eukaryotic large subunit ribosomal RNA", at positions 69 to 668 of the family's 3401-position model. The record is from RNAcentral. Lineage: Eukaryota; Fungi; Ascomycota; Saccharomycetes; Saccharomycetales; Saccharomycetaceae.